Molecule: ribosomal RNA, 476 nt
Filed under: uncultured bacterium
Lineage: Bacteria
Description: partial 16S ribosomal RNA
Rfam family: Bacterial small subunit ribosomal RNA
Source: RNAcentral
GACGAACGCUGGCGGCGUGCUUAACACAUGCAAGUCGAACGGUAAGGCCCUUCGGGGUACACGAGUGGCGAACGGGUGAGUAACACGUGGGUAACCUGCCUCAUAGAGGGGAAUAGCCUCCCGAAAGGGAGAUUAAUACCGCAUAACAUCGUUGAAGGGCAUCCUUCGAUGAUCAAAGGAGUAAUCCGCUAUGAGAUGGGCCCGCGGCGCAUUAGCUAGUUGGUGAGGUAACUGCUCACCAAGGCGACGAUGCGUAGCCGACCUGAGAGGGUGAUCGGCCAGAUAGGUACUGAGACACGGCCCGGACUCCUACGGGAGGCAGCGGUGGGGAAGAUUGCUCAAUGGGGGAAACCCUGAUGCAGCAACGCCGCGUGAGUGAUGACGGCAUUCGGGUUGUAAAGCUCUGUCUUUGGGGACUAUAAUGAGGGUACCCAAGGAGGAAGUCACGGCUAACUACGUGCCAGCCGCCGCCGUAA